CCUACGGGGGGCAGCAGUGAGGAAUAUUGGUCAAUGGACGAGAGUCUGAACCAGCCAAGUAGCGUGAAGGAUGACUGCCCUAUGGGUUGUAAACUUCUUUUAUAUGGGAAUAAAAUGUUCCACGUGUGGGAUUUUGUAUGUACCAUAUGAAUAAGGAUCGGCUAACUCCGUGCCAGCAGCCGCGGUAAUACGGAGGAUCCGAGCGUUAUCUGGAUUUAUUGGGUUUAAAGGGAGCGUAGGUGGAUUGUUAAGUCAGUUGUGAAAGUUUGCGGCUCAACCGUAAAAUUGCAGUUGAAACUGGCAGUCUUGAGUACAGUAGAGGUGGGCGGAAGUCGUGGUGUAGCGGUGAAAUGCUUAGAUAUCACGAAGAACUCCGAUUGCGAAGGCAGUUCACUGGACUGCAACUGACACUGAGGCUCGAAAGUGUGGGUAUCAAACAGGAUUAGAUACCCCGGUAGUC
Molecule: ribosomal RNA, 460 nt
Filed under: uncultured bacterium
Lineage: Bacteria
Description: partial 16S ribosomal RNA
Rfam family: Bacterial small subunit ribosomal RNA
Source: RNAcentral